This 1198-nucleotide ribosomal RNA is filed under the name uncultured organism. RNAcentral's name for it is "bacterial SSU rRNA". It matches the Rfam family "Bacterial small subunit ribosomal RNA", at positions 199 to 1426 of the family's 1533-position model. The record is from RNAcentral.
GAGUAAAGACCUCGGUCGCUUUGGGAGGAGCUCGCUUACUAUCAGCUUGUUGGUAGGGUAACGGCCUACCAAGGCUAUGACGGUUAGGGGGUGUGAGAGCAUGACCCCCAGCAUUGGCACUGAAACACUGGCCAAACACCUACGGGUGGCUGCAGUCGAGAAUCUUCCACAAUGGGGGAAACCCUGAUGGAGCGAUGCUGCGUGCGGGAUGAAGGCCUUCGGGUUGUAAACCGCUUUUGUAGGGGACGAAAUUUUUGACGGUACCCUUUCGAAUAAGAGGUUGCUAACUCUGUGCCAGCAGCAGCGGUAAUACAGAGACCUCAAGCGUUAUCCGGAUUUACUGGGGCGUAAAGCGUCUGUAGGGGGUUUAUUAAGUUCCAAGUAAAAUUUCAAGGCUCAACUUUGAAUUCGCUUGGAAAACUAAUAAACUGGAGUCUAGCAGAGGUGCAUGGAACUUGUGGUGUAGGAGUGAAAUCCGUUGAUAUCACAAGGAACACCAAAGGCGAAGGCAUUGCACUGGGCUAGCACUGACCCUGAGAGACGAAAGCGUGGGGAGCAAAACGGAUUAGAUACCCGUGUAGUCCACGCCCUAAACGAUGAAUGCUAAAUGUUCGGGGAUUCGACCCCCUGGGUGUUACAGCUAACGCGUUAAGCAUUCCGCCUGGGAAGUACGGCCGCAAGGCUAAAACUCAAAGGAAUAGACGGGGAUCCGCACAAGCGGUGGAGCGUCUGGUUUAAUUCGACAGUAAGCGUGGUACCUCACCAGGGUUUGACAUCCCUUGACAGCCUUGGAAACAAGGUUUCCUUCGGGCAAGGUGACAGGUGCUGCAUGGUCGUCGUCAGUUCGUGCCGUGAGGUGUUCCGUUAAGUCGGGAAACGAACGAAACCCCUAUUGCAUGUUACAAUUUCUCAUGCAAGACUGCCCGGAUAUACUGGGAGGAAGGUGGGGAUGACGUCAGAUCUGCAUGGUCCUUAUACCCUGGGCGACACAGGCGCUACAAUGGCAGAGACAAAGGGUUGCAAAACCGCAAGGUGAAGCUAAUCCCAAAAACUUUGUCUAAGUUCGGAUUGAAGGCUGCAAUUCGCCUUCAUGAAGCUGGAAUCGCUAGUAAUCGUGAAUCAGCCACGUCACGGUGAAUAUGUUCCCGGAUCUUGUACUCACCGCCCGUCACACCAAGAGAGUUGGUAGCUCCCGANA